GGUGAACGCUGGCGGCGUGCCUAAUACAUGCAAGUCGAGCGAACGGACGAGAAGCUUGCUUCUCUGAUGUUAGCGGCGGACGGGUGAGUAACACGUGGAUAACCUACCUAUAAGACUGGGAUAACUUCGGGAAACCGGAGCUAAUACCGGAUGAUAUUUUGAACCGCAUGGUUCAAAAGUGAAAGACGGUCUUGCUGUCACUUAUAGAUGGAUCCGCGCUGCAUUAGCUAGUUGGUAAGGUAACGGCUUACCAAGGCAACGAUGCAUAGCCGACCUGAGAGGAUGAUCGGCCACACUGGAACUGAGACACGGUCCAGACUCCUACGGGAGGCAGCAGUAGGGAAUCUUCCGCAAUGGGCGAAAGCCUGACGGAGCAACGCCGCGUGAGUGAUGAAGGUCUUCGGAUCGUAAAACUCUGUUAUUAGGGAAGAACAUAUGUGUAAGUAACUGUGCACAUCUUGACGGUACCUAAUCAGAAAGCCACGGCUAACUACGUG
This 497-nucleotide ribosomal RNA is filed under the name uncultured bacterium. Its description in RNAcentral is "partial 16S ribosomal RNA". It matches the Rfam family "Bacterial small subunit ribosomal RNA", at positions 28 to 507 of the family's 1533-position model. The record is from RNAcentral.